This 30-nucleotide ribosomal RNA is filed under the name Colletotrichum siamense. RNAcentral describes it as "partial 18S ribosomal RNA". The record is from RNAcentral. Lineage: Eukaryota; Fungi; Ascomycota; Sordariomycetes; Glomerellales; Glomerellaceae.
UCCGUAGGUGAACCUGCGGAGUUAUCAUUA